UUGGAACUUAUUGCUUUUAUAAUUGAUUAACUGAGCGACAUAUCAAAAGUUACAAUUAUAAAUGAACUCGCGUUGUUUGCCAGACAUGAAAACGUACGAAGUAAAGACAUCCCAACUAUGUUGACACCGUUUAAUCACCCAAUAAACAAGCUAAUUCAAUUCUUAAAUUUAUUAAAAAGAGAACAUGAAAACAUGGGGGGACUAGACCAAUACCCAAGUGGGAGUGAACAAACACAAUUUUGUUUUUUGAACAGCAAAUAUAUUAUUAAUUAUAACCUGUCUUUGCACAAGAUGAAUAUAGGCCGGGAACACUGGAACUACAAAUCAAAAGUGUCGUAUAUAAGCGGAACACCAAAGAGGAAAACCAAAACAAACACCACCUAAUAGAGGUCUACUUUUGAUCCCAUUCUUAGAAGGACACUCUCCGGCCUCUAGACUACCAAGGAAGACAUCAGCCCGAUCCAUAAAGAUGCCCUUAGACUCUAACUCUCGAUCUUUAAUCAAAAGUGAUCGCAGUCCACCUCCAAACAGCAAAAAGAAAAUCAUUCCAAACACGCAAGCAAAAAAUUAACGGGGCAACGAUAGAAAGAAAAUCUAGGCAGAUAAGUCCCAGUUCGUAGUCUGCCUCCAAACAGUCAACACUGACACGAAAGAGGUCAUUCAGAUACAAAGAAACAUGCAAAUCUCAGCAGAUUUGGAAAACAUCAUAAACUCAAAAAGGAAUCCUGCAAAUCUCAACAGAUUUGGAAGCUGGUCAAAGAAUCCUGUAUCUUAGAAAAUCAAUCACACGUCAUCAACCACACACCAACGACGCCAGAUCCAACACCACCACGUUACCACCUCACCACCACAACCCCUAAACAGAACCUCCAUUUCUUUAAUAGAAUCACUCCAGUUGCUGACACAUGUGAUUAAUUUCUAAUCAAGAACCACAACAUCCCUCAUCACCUCCAACCCCCACAACCACCCCAUCUUAAAACCAACAGCCACCAAACUGAGCACCAUUAUAACGUCGCCAGGCCGCCAGCCCCAAAACCACCACCCUUAACCCACGGAAAUGAAAACCAACCACCCUCGUGACCACCACCCACAACCCAUAAGACACGAAAACGGCUAUAAAAACCAAGAUCCACAACCAAAACGGCCAGAACUGGAAACCAACACUCACUGUGACCCAAUCCAAACGCCGAGGAACUAUAAGAAACGAUGGCAGAGGAGAAAAACUCAAGCAGGAAUGGUGACGGCCGCCGGAAGCAAAAAAUUGACGGGGCAACGGUAGAAAGAAAAUCUAGGCAGAUAAGUCCCAGUUCGCAGUCCGCCUCCAAACAGUCAACACUGACACGAAAGAGGUCCACCAGAUACAAAGAAACAUGCAAAUCUCAACAGAUUUGAAAGCUGGUCAGAGAAUCUCGUAUCUUAGAAAACCAAUCACAUGUCAUCAACCACACACCAGCGACGCCAGAUCCAACACCGCCACGUUAGCACCUCACCACCACACCCCCCUAAACAGAACCUUCGUUUCUUUAAUAGAAUCAUUCCACUUGCUGACACGCGUGAUUAAUUUCUAAUCAAGCACCACAACAUCACUCACCACCACAACAUCCCUCAUCACCUCCAACUCCAACCCCAACCAACCACCCCAUCUUAAAACCAACAGCCUCAAAAAAAUGAUCUAACCAAAUCGACCAUUUUCAUGAGAUAUUGCAGGCAAUUAACACUAAAAAUUAAAAUUGUGUUAUAAUUCAAUGUUCAACAAAAACAAGUGAAUUAAAUAGUACCUCGGAAGCAUUAGGUAGCAUGACCCAAAUUUAUUUAGGUCCAAUAGUACUAAAAUGUUGACGAACAUAAAGUUAGGUAGAUUCCUAGGAUGCUAGAAACAUUGGAACAAGAUGAAACCAAGACAAGAGACCAUGAUUAAUUGCUCAUUUUGUAUUCACAUUAUCAAAGCAAGAGAUUCAUUUCGUAUUUACAAUUUCACAUUAAUUGCAACCCUAUUUUUUUUUAUUUUUUUUUUUUGAAAAUGUUUGCAACCCUAUUUUUGAGUUAUAGAUAAAUUAGUUACACAUAUGAUCUUCUUUUAAGUAUAAUAGUUUGGUCUUCUACUCCUUAUAAUUCAAUUUUUGCUUAUAAAAAAUUAAAUAAAUAAUAGCAUCGUGAUAUAAGGGCAGCUUCUAGUAGAAUUUUAUGGGGACGGGAAUAAGGGCAUCACUCGAGCACAAAUACAAAGGGGGUCGGGAAAAUAAUCAUCCUCUUCGAACAUAUGACACUUCGGAUUCAUUGAAAGUGAUGAGCACAUAUCUUUUGGACAAUCAGAAUCUUGAGUACACAUAAUAAACGCUGCUGAAAAUGAGAAUAAAAGGAUGUUAUUAAAAUGUGCUAAAAUAUUUUGUAGGAAGUAACUACGAAAAUUUGAAAAUGAUAAAAAAUGGCUUACCGCCGUCAACAUUCAUUGCAACAAGAAAGAGUGAAAAAAAGAUAAUCAUAACAUAAACAAACUUGAUAGCUUCAGCCAUAUUUUCUCGAAUUUGUGUGUGAAAAAUUGAAUAUGAUUUUAUCACUUUAUAAUUUACGAAUUUCAUCUUCCUUACGUACAUCAUAUAGUUUUUAGCGCUUAUAAAAUUGUUAAA
Molecule: long non-coding RNA, 2627 nt
Filed under: Trifolium pratense (red clover)
Lineage: Eukaryota; Viridiplantae; Streptophyta; Magnoliopsida; Fabales; Fabaceae
Description: long non-coding RNA (TPRA_LNC003565)
Source: RNAcentral